GCCUUCCUCUGUAAAAGGAAUGCCAGCCAUGAUCAUUAAUAUUAAACCAAAUAUUUGGAGUCAGAUAAAGGUGUAGCUUCUUAGGCCCUAUCAAAUCAGGGAUAGACUGAAAGAAAUGUUACAUUACUUCUCUUUUCUAGUUGCCAGUGGUUUGAGGGGUGGUGUGUAUGUAUGUACAACAUAUAUAUUCAGGGUGGCUUUUGAGAUGGUUACACUAUAGCUAUAGAUGAUGCAUUAGUGUCUUAAUCACAAGAAAAGAGGAGCAAUAAAAUGUAGAAUGACUUUUGUACAUAUGGAUAGAGCAGUGGGCCAGUUUAGAAGAUUUACGGGCCGGAUUAUUUUUUAAAAUUCUUUGGAAGAGUGAGAAGACUACACUUUCCUGAUCGUAAAUUGUUCUCCAGAAAUGGGAGUAACAUGGAUACACUCAAGUUUUGGCUCAAUAUAUAUCAAUGUCAUUUAAUUUAGAUUAUCAAAAGAAUACAUAAAAAGAAUAUUUUCAUGCUUUUAACAUGUUUAAUUAAAAAAAAAAAAAGAAAUACUAGUACUAGAAGAGGCUUUGUGGUUAUCCAGGUACCAUCUUCAUGGUCCACCCCUUAUUCUUUAGACAAGCACAAAGAGAAGCAAUGAAGCAGCCUUACCUGUUUCUCUUAAAGAAUCACUAAUGCUUUUAUUUGGAGAAAGGCAAGAGAAUACUCUUAGGCAUUUAGUAAAAAUAUCCAACUAAACCAAAAGACCUCAAAGUGUGAUUGGUUUCAAGAGCCCUAGUAUUUUGUGGUAUCUGAGACAUCUGAGCACUCAAGACAAAUUGAACAUUAAAAAAAUUUUUUGAUUCCUUUCCUAUUAAAACCAACAUUCCAUAUAGAUUUCAUUUUUUAUUUUCCCUAAUUUGGUGCUUUCCAAGUCAUCUUUAAAGUGCCCUUCCUCCAAACUUAAAAAAAAAAAAAAAAUUCUUUGAUAAAAACUGCUAUUCAUUACAAAACAUUCCAAUUUUUUAAGCUUAAAUUUAGCUUUUAUUGAAAGUCUACCAUUCGGUAUGUUAAGUAUGAAAUGUAGUGCAGACUUAUCUCCAGGUUUUAAGUGGGACUCAAUAAUGAAAAAUGCCACCAGCCACUUUUGUAAUAAUGGCAUCGACAAUGCCAUCAUGUAUGCAAGCAAUAAAAAUUCUUCAGGGUAUGUUUUUAUACUGAAAUUUUAAUAUGAAUGCCCCUAGCCACAAGGAUAUAGAGAAUUAACUUUUAGAAGUGAUACUAUAACUCAAAUUGCUGAGUACAGGGAAGAGAAGAGGGGCGUUAUUCCUUGGAUUCAAAUAACUGUCAAAAGCAUUUUUCCUUUUGCAAAGGGUAUGGAUGAUGAGAGAAUAAGCACAUCUGCACUACUUUAUCAAGCUGCAUUUCAUUUUCCAUGAAGCUUAGUACAACAAACAGGUUGGUGUACUUACCUUCACUGGGUGACCUAUCCCAAUAAAAAAAUUAAAAAAAAACAAAA
Molecule: long non-coding RNA, 1485 nt
Filed under: Canis lupus familiaris (dog)
Lineage: Eukaryota; Metazoa; Chordata; Mammalia; Carnivora; Canidae
Description: lncRNA (ENSCAFG00845027163.1)
Source: RNAcentral